CCUACGGUAGGCAGCAGUGAGGAAUAUUUGUCAAUGGACGAGAGUCUGAACCAGCCACGUAGCGUGAAGGCUGACUGCCCUAUGGGUUGUAAACUUCUUUUAUAUGGGAAUAAAAUGUUCCACGUGUGGGAUUUUGUAUGUACCCUAUGAAUAAGGAUCGGCUAACUCCGUGCCAGCAGCCGCGGUAAUACGGUGGUUCCGAGCGUUAUCCUGAUUUAUUGGGUUUAAAGGGAGCGUAGGUUGAUUGUUAAGUCAGUUGUGAAAGUUUGCGGCUCAACCGUAAAAUUGCAGUUGAAACUGGCAGUCUUGAGUACAGUAGAGGUGAGCGGAAUUCGUGGUGUAGCGGUGAAAUGCUUAGAUAUCACGAAGAACUCCGAUUGCGAAGGCAGUUCACUGGACUGCAACUGACACUGAGGCUCGAAAGUGUGGGUAUCAAACAGGAUUAGAUACCCGAGUAGUC
RNAcentral lists this ribosomal RNA (460 nucleotides) under uncultured bacterium. Its description in RNAcentral is "partial 16S ribosomal RNA". It matches the Rfam family "Bacterial small subunit ribosomal RNA", at positions 338 to 795 of the family's 1533-position model. The record is from RNAcentral.